GGAGGGAUGGCCGAGCGGUUUAAGGCGCACGCCUGGAAAGUGUGUAUAUGCUAGAAGCAUAUCGAGGGUUCGAAUCCCUCUCCCUCCGCCA
RNAcentral lists this transfer RNA (91 nucleotides) under Rickettsiales bacterium. RNAcentral describes it as "tRNA-Ser". It matches the Rfam family "tRNA". Rfam says of the family: Transfer RNA (tRNA) molecules are approximately 80 nucleotides in length. Their secondary structure includes four short double-helical elements and three loops (D, anti-codon, and T loops). Lineage: Bacteria; Pseudomonadati; Pseudomonadota; Alphaproteobacteria; Rickettsiales. The record is from RNAcentral.